Molecule: non-coding RNA, 209 nt
Organism: Oryza meridionalis
Lineage: Eukaryota; Viridiplantae; Streptophyta; Magnoliopsida; Poales; Poaceae
Source: Rfam
AAUAAGUACAGUUUUAAACUAUUCAAGUCCAACGUUUGACCAUUCGUUUUAUUUAAAUUUUUUUUUAUGAUUAGUAUUUUUAUUGUUAUUAGAUGAUAAAAUAUGAAUAGUAUUUUUUGUGUGACUAAAUUAUUUUUUUUAUUUUUAUAAAUUUUUCAUAUAAGACGGAUGGUCAAACAUUGGACAUGGAUAUCUACAGUGCACUUAUU